RNAcentral lists this unclassified non-coding RNA (287 nucleotides) under Helotiales sp. RNAcentral describes it as "partial contains 5.8S ribosomal RNA, internal transcribed spacer 2, and large subunit ribosomal RNA". The record is from RNAcentral. Lineage: Eukaryota; Fungi; Ascomycota; Leotiomycetes; Helotiales.
CGCACAUUGCGCCCCUUGGUAUUCCGGGGGGCAUGCCUGUUCGAGCGUCAUAUAACAAAAUUCAAGCCUAGCUUGGUAUUGAGCCUUUGACAAGACUUCGGGCUCCAAAUGCGUCGGCUAUAAAUUAAAUUAGUAAAUAGGGAGUGCUAUAGCAUGGUGCCGUGAAUAUCGACAAAUAUACACGUGGUACGGAGUUUGUAGGCCCUUGCCUUUCUGCGUUCGCAUCGGUAACUCAGACCGAACAUAAGUUUGACCUCGGAUCGGGUAGGAAUACCCGCUGAACUUAA